This 293-nucleotide ribosomal RNA is filed under the name uncultured bacterium. Its description in RNAcentral is "partial 16S ribosomal RNA". It matches the Rfam family "Archaeal small subunit ribosomal RNA", at positions 455 to 747 of the family's 1478-position model. The record is from RNAcentral.
GUGCCAGCCGCCGCGGUAAUACCGGCAACCCGAGUGAUGGCCGAUCUUAUUGGGCCUAAAGCGUCCGUAGCUGGCUGCGCAAGUCCGUCGGGAAAUCCACCCGCCCAACGGGUGGGCGUCCGGUGGAAACUGCGUGGCUUGGGACCGGAAGGCGCGACGGGUACGUCCGGGGUAGGAGUGAAAGCCCGUAAUCCUGGACGGACCGCCGAUGGCGAAAGCACGUCGCGAAGACGGAUCCGACAGUGAGGGACGAAAGCUAGGGUCGCGAACCGGAUUAGAAACCCCGGUAGUCC